UACGUAGGGGGCAAGCGUUGUCCGGAUUUAUUGGGCGUAAAGAGCGUGUAGGCGGCCUGAAAGGUCAGCUGUGAAAACUCGAGGCUCAACCUCGAGACGUCGGUUGAAACCAUCUGGCUAGAGUCCGGAAGAGGAGUGUGGAAUUCCCGGUGUAGCGGUGAAAUGCGCAGAUAUCGGGAAGAACACCCGUGGCGAAGGCGGCACUCUGGGACGGUACUGACGCUGAGACGCGAAAAGCGUGGGGAGCCGAACGAGG
Molecule: ribosomal RNA, 256 nt
Filed under: uncultured bacterium
Lineage: Bacteria
Description: partial 16S ribosomal RNA
Rfam family: Bacterial small subunit ribosomal RNA
Source: RNAcentral